This is a long non-coding RNA of Cygnus olor (mute swan), 3123 nucleotides long. RefSeq lists it as uncharacterized. Lineage: Eukaryota; Metazoa; Chordata; Aves; Anseriformes; Anatidae. The record is from RefSeq and is a predicted model, not a curated record. The transcript is spliced from 2 exons.
UGCUGGUGGCUUCCACAAACGCGCAUUAUGAACCAACGCUCGCUGAGGUUUUGGCCCCCCUGGGUGGGCAUGGCACCAGCCACGUGGGCCCCAGCGCGGGGCUGUGCAGGGAGGGAGAGAGCACCCGGGGGCUGUUGAGGGCCGCCGGGCCCCCAUGCCACUGUCCCGACAGGGCCCUGGGGAAGGACAAGGGGUCCGGGCUCAAAGGGAGGUGGGAGAUAAGAGGGGACUGGGAGGGAAAGUGACCCGGGGAGAGGCCACGGGGCACGGACAGCGGGCAGAGCGGUAAAUCAGCAGGGAAGAUGCAGGUGGGCGUUUGGGAUCACUUCAGGUGGGAUCGUGUUUGCGGUAGGUUAUUAACACGUAUCGCAUGGGACGAAGCCUCAGAAGGAAACGCGUCUGAUGUUCCAGACAACAAUGAGGGCUCGUCUACUGAGGAAUUAAUUCAGAAUAGCUGCUGCGCUUUAAAUCAUACCUGAGAUUAAUCUGUGCUGACUUUCAAAGGGAAACAAGAAACUGGCGAGCAUCUGUGUCCCUGCCCAGCAUUGUUCUCUAUCGCGGCAGAGAUCUUGUUACAAUUGUCAGGGAGAAAAUCCAGAGUUCCUGGUACCAAACAGUUAAAAAAUAAAUAAAUAAAGACUUUAGUAACCAGAAAGCAGAAACCGUGUCUGGAAUUGUUCGAAAUAAGGCUUGCUUGAAAAUAAAUAUAGAAUUAUUCACCAUGGUAACUAUUGCCCUAUUGCGUUAGUGCGUAUCGAUUUAACAUUAAUCCAAAGACUAAUGCUGUGAAAUAUUUGGUCUCCUUAAUGGACAACUGUUUAGUUAACAAAUCUUUGGGGAGUUGUUGAAUUUUUUGUUUUGUUUUUCUUUAGAUCUCCUCAACCACUUAGGGAAGGAGAUGAUUUGACUCUUAGGGUUACUUAUUUCUAAUAUGGAUCUCUCUUCCCAAUUACGUUUAUGAAUUUAUCCUUAGCGUUGCACUACAGCGAUUAUGCAGGGUCAUUCAAAUCUUUAACUAACGCUCAAGUGCUGCCGUGAGGAAUAAAAGCAAAGACACCAACGUGAUUGCACAGGUAAAUGAGUGGUGCUGGUGUGGCAAGGGGCAAGAUGAUGUUACAGCCCCGAGUACCCAGAGCAGAGCGAUGUGUCUGUGCAAUUCACUUUCGAGGACCUCGAAUCUUGUCAAAGCUCCCCUGGGUCCCUCCCUUUCCACCGCGCGGAAGGAGGUGAGGCGCAGAGAGCUGCCCCGGCUCACCCUGGGAGCUCGAGAAGCAGGAAGCGCCGCUCUCGCGGUGCCCACGCGCUUCCUGGAGCCAGCAGCGGCGCCUCUAGGGAGAACAUAAAAAGAAACCGAGAAAAGCUCAACAGUGACAGGACGCAGGUGCCAAAAUCGACAAAAAUUGGUGUCCAGAAGUAUCGCACCAGCCAGGAGGGUUAGGACGAUGUGUGAACUUGCAUCGGCCUGCAUCUGAAACUGGAGCCUCCCUCCACCAAAGCUCGGCAAACUUGUAAAAACUGCCCCCGAACCAGCAGGCUGAUUCACGGCGAGGGCGGACGUCUUGCACCGGGCGCUUGGCCCAGGGCUCCUCCUGCCUGCCGGGGGCCGCCGGCCCUGACCCCUCUGCCUGUGCCCGGGCUGCUGGGCAAAGCCCUGGGGGCUGCAAAAGGCACCUGGGAUGGAGAGAGGACACAAAAUCCUUCAGUCAGGGCUUGCACAUGCUGCUGAAGAACAGUUUAUUACUUAUAGUUGUGUUUGUGACCUUAUGAUCAUUUUAGGAUGGGCCGCGUCUGUGUCUUAAAAUGUCAGAAAAAAUCUAAAAUGUUGGGGUUGGGUCUCUGAUACUCAGUCGCCAUUUGCUUUACAAUGACACCACCGCGUUUCCAGCUGAAUAAUAACAAAGUGGGUCGGCACAUAACACUGUCUGAAGUGGGCGUGCGGCCCGGGUUGCUGCGUGCGCCUCGCUCUGCCCUGGGAGCUGGCCCUCCCGAGGCGGGCAGGCCCUCGGCCCACUCCUCACCUCCUCACAAAGCGUUUCUACAAAUUUGCCUGGCACAAAAGAAAUUGCAACUGCAGUACCAAGUGGAAGGGACGAAGCCAAAAGGCAGGUGAGCGUCACUCCUCCCACGUCACAGAUGAGGAAACUGAAGCUGGGAGCAGGAUAUAAAAAUAGGGUUGGAAGUGCUUGAUUCCCGCUCCUUGCGUAGGUUUUUUCCAGGUAAUUUUUGGCAAGCCAUUUGUGGACGCUCACAGUGUGCCUGCCACGACUGACGGCAGUCACAGCGAUGAUUUCUUUCCCAGAACCUCGCCACAGCCUGGGAAGGGGCUGAGCGGGCCCCGAGCCCCCAGCGCCCGCCCAUGCUCCCCGCGGGCCGAGGCUGCUGCCUGCGGAGCGAGCUCCAGGAGGGGCUCCCAGAGGGGCUUCCACAUCGCUCCCCGGGCCCCUGGGGUUCGGCAGCGCCUCUGAGCAGCGCCGGGAAGCCAAACCUCGAAGCUUGCUUCCACCCAAGAGGCGCGAUCCUCUGCCGUGGCUCCCGCGGAUUAGUAAGCGCUGGGAGUUACCAUCUGGCGGGUGGCAAGGAGUAAAAGAUUAAACAACCUGGCAAUUCCUCGUUCCUCCUCUCCGGGCGUUUUCUCAGGACCAGACGGGGCCUCCGGAGUCUUUGUGAAGCGCAGGCGCUUAUUUAACGUUGGUUUGUAAAUAAUCGUGGAGAAAGAAAUCCUAUUUUUGGGGAGGGGAGUACGAAUCGAAGCUUCCCCAUGAGCAAAGCGGCGCCGGCCUUGGCACCAUCCAUCCACCUCCGGCUUUGCACAAGGGUCGGGGUUUUCACGGGGGCACACACGGCCCUCGCAGUGCAAUCCUGGGGGCUCGUCGCCAGUCCCCGACCCUAAAUCGCAGCUGUGGGGGCUCACGGGGAGAGGGCACCCCGGGAAGGUGCCGGGGCUGCCUGCAUCUCCCAGGAGCAGCGUUCACCGAGCAGCAGCUCCUUCGCCCCAGCACGGCAAAGCUGCUUCCAGCAUUUGCAUUAUAACCCCCCGCUUUCUCAGGUUUAUUUCAAAAAAAAAAAAAAAAAAGGAAAAAAAAGAAAAGGAAAAAAAAGAAAAGGAAAAAAAAAAAGAAGGUU